This is a long non-coding RNA of Cucumis sativus (cucumber), 2319 nucleotides long. RefSeq lists it as uncharacterized. NCBI's taxonomy places the organism in Eukaryota, Viridiplantae, Streptophyta, Magnoliopsida, Cucurbitales, Cucurbitaceae. The record is from RefSeq and is a predicted model, not a curated record. The transcript is spliced from 2 exons.
UUGGUUUUCUAACUUCUGUUUCAUGUUCAUCUUUUAGUGUUUGAUCUUGUUUUUGCGUUUUUUGGGGUUGAAGAUCUUGUCUGCUACUAUUGAUUCUGGUAGUUAUACCAGUUAUAAAACCUUUAAAAAUUGGAUGCUUGUCACGUAGAUGUGUCAAUUGUUUCCUAAUUUCUUUUUGCUGUUUUUAGUGUUCUUGUUUUUUCAAACUUGAGACGCUUGUGAGCCAACUCAUUCGAGGUAUUGUGGUUCUCUUCUUUGUUUUGUGCGUAAUCUAUGCAGAGAAAAUCACUAAUCAAUAGGAUGUUCAAAUCUCCUUAUCAUAUUUUAUUAGCAGGAUAUCUCGUUAUGAAUCUAUUACUACAAUUCAUGAGAACUUGCUGAACACGUGUUAUUUCAUCUUCUUCUUCUUGCCCAGCUGCUUUUGACCAGUGUAGCUUCUUGUUCUCUUCUGGAAUUCGAUUUCCGAAUGGUUAACUUUCUGGGUGCUUUGCUGGGUAUUAUCUUGAUUCUAUGUAAGUGGAGGUAUCUGAUGGCUGAAAACUUUUGAAAAAGAGAUCCAAUAUACUCUCAAUUUGCACUGGUGUGUCCAUAUUUUUCAUUGGUCCUAGACGGUUGUCUGGAAGAGAACUGUAAGGGCUUACGGUUUAUGGGUAGGAGUAGUACGGUACUACGAAGGCAUAAAGAUAAUAUUAGUUAGUGUAUUUGGUUAUAAAUAGAGGGAGGGGGAUUGAGGUAAGAGAGGCUAUUGUUGAGUGAUUUAGGGCUUGGGUUAGCAUACUAAAAAGAGGAGGAGGUCCUAAGUGCCUUAUACUUGGUUUAUCUUUUAGUUCUUAAUCCUUUACAUUUCAAUAUUUUCAGUUCUUGAUUUUUUUAGGUGGUAUCCUAACAUUUUCACUAGCACAUUCUGAGCUGCCAUCUGAGCCCGGCUUCUAGCCUAUGUGUGCAAGCACAGAACUGGAUACGGCUGCUGUACCCUACCUUCCAUCAGGUCAAAUGCACACCAUUGCCCAUCAUUAGGGGAGGGGAGGCAGGUUGUUUGCCUAUGACAAGUUUCUUGCAUAACUACUUGGGUGGCUAUCUGAAUUUCUGAAACCUCAAUCUUGAAAGGAACAUGAAUGAUGAAGAGACCUUGGAGUGGGUUGGGUACAAUGGCUCGACAAAGAUUAAGGUCUUUGUUUGGAAAUGUGUAUGAACAGGCCUUAGUACUUAAGACAAAGUUCAAGCAAGAAACUCUAAUCACUUCUCCCAUUAUUAUGUCCUUGUAAGACUGCAGAGGAGACUGGCAAUUACCUCUUAUUUUGAUGCCCUUUUCCUCCGUCUUUGGUUCCAGGUCUUAAGUAUCUUUGGCUUCAAUAUGAUUUCCAGUACUGAUGUUGUUAGGAUACCUCCUAAUAAGAACACUCACGAACUAACAAAGAACACUAAAACAUAGAAUUAUAUUACAAUGUCAAGAAGAAACUACAAUAUACAUUAGCACAUUAGAAUCCUCCAAAUUCCCCCAUUAGGAUUUGGAAUGCCUUGAAUUCGUUACGUGGAACUACGAACAACCUAGUAACUCUUUAGUUUUCAUAAUUGAGUCUAAUUACUUCUUUAUGAGUUAUUUAUGUUUGACCCAAGGUAAAGAGAAGUGCAAUAUAUAUACUCUCUAACCUAGUGGCGCCGUUUUGUAUUAUGAAAUAUUCUCUCGAUAAUAUUGUUCUCCCUUUGCUCCAUGGCAUAGCUAAUACAUUGUUAGUGAACCACGUAUAUCUGUUUGUCGAUCUUUAUACUUGUUUUAUAUUGCUUAAUUGUUGAUUUCGUAGCAUAGGAAAUCACCACAAAAUUCUUGGCACUUUGCUUCCAACCCAAACCCUCUAAUUAUAACAAACUUACUAACUAAUUAAUAUUUUGUCCCUUAUAAUAACCAUACUAAUAUUCUACUAAUAAUCCUAUUAUUCCCCUAACUAGGGGUCUUACAUGCUUAACUACUUUUUUUGUCUUUACUGUUGUGUAUGUCGUCCCAAAAAAUGAAGGCCAGACUCUCCUCACGAACAGGACUAUUUCAUUUUUAUGAGAAAAUGAUCCAAAUUGUUUUGCACAGGAGCUUAUGGUUUCCAGAGAACCUUUCUACUUGUAAAAUUAACUUUUUGUGACAUUAGUAUUUUAACUCUCUUAGGAGAUUAAGAGAGCGGGUGGACAGGUAGUGGCUAGGUUUAGCGUCUCCCUUUUGGACUCCCAUCAGUGUGCCUUUUUGUAAUUAUGAAAGUGGUCUUGGUUUUUUUGGAUUGAAGUUCUGUUUUCUAGUUUACUAUAGAAUAAUGCUCAAGUUUGUUUUUUGCA